CCUGAACCUCUGUCCCGUAGUCACAUUUUCGAACCGGAGCGUCAGUAGGCCUUCUUUACACAUGUCCAAACCACCGGAACCGAUUUUCUCUCAUCUUUCCUUCAAUUUUGGCUACUCCUACUUUGCCUCGGAUAUCCUCCUUCCCAAUCUUAUCCUUUCUCGUGUGCCCAUACAUCCCACGAAGCAUCCUCAUCUCCACUACACCCAUUUUGUGUACGUGUUGAUGCUUCACCGCCCAACAUUCUGUGCCAUACAACAUCGCUGGCCUUAUUGCCGUCCUAUAAAAUUUUCCCUUGAGCUUCAGUGGCCUACGACGGUCACACAACACGCCGGAUGCACUCUUACACUUCAUCCAUCCAGCUUGUAUUCUAUGGUUGAGAUCUCCAUCUAAUUCUCCGUUCUCUUGCAAGAUAGAUCCUAGGUAGCGAAAACGGUCACUUUUUGUGAUCUUCGCUAGAUUGCUCCGGUCAUUAGUGUGGAUAAGUAUAUAAAAUGGAUAGAGAUAGGAAAGCAAACACAAGAUGUACGUGGUUCACCCAGAUUGGCUACGUCCACGGAAUAGAGGAGUUCUCAUUAAUUGUGAAGGGUUUACACAAGUACAUAGGUUCAAGCUCUCCUUUAGUGAGUACAAGUGAAUGAUUUAGUACAAAUGACAUUAGGAAAUAUUGUGGGAGAAUGAUCUCGUAACCACGAAACUUCUAAGUACCGGAGUGUGGUAUCGUCUUGACUUGCCUUAUCUGUCUCAUAGGUAGAUGUGGCAUCUUCUCUAGAAGUACUCUUCCUCCAUCCAGGGGUGGUAUCUGUAACUGGUGGAGAUGCACAAGGUAAUGUAUCAAUUUCACUUGAAGCUUACUUGUAGUUUCAGGCUUGGUUAAGCGCGAUACAAACCAUGUAGUAGGAGUCCCCCAAGUCGCCGGGCUAGGGGAUCUGCUGAAAGAGGUGACAGACAAGGUAAGCAAUCAGAGCUCCGGCUGAUUGUUCACAUUCUCCCUAUCUUGCAGGCAGCAUGAAGGAUAAAGAGAAGAAAAAUAAGAAGAGAUGAUGAUAUGGGAUACUUUUGCUUUUGAAGAAGUAACUUUCCACAGGCUUAUUCUUGAACAGGGCUGGAGGUUUUCUGGUUUCCUCCAGAGUAUAAGGCCGACUGAAGAAUUUGAGGGUCAAAACAAGUCCAUCAAAUCUAGAGUACGUUCGACCCUGCUGAUAUGGGAUACUUUUGCUUUUGACAGAAGUAGUGAUGAUGUAUCGGCACGUGUGCUGUUACGCUUGUCUCCACAUGCUUCCUUGUAUCCUUUUCACUUGCCCUAUCUGUUCCUCAGGCAUAUACGGUAUCUUCCCUGGAAACAUAAGAUGUUGAAGAUGAGUACUCGAGAGCAAUGCCAGGUAAAGUAAUCAGGUAGGGGGUUCCCAGGCAGUCAGUUCCUAGCUGGAAGCUUGAUUCCAAGUGCUGACUGAUUGCUUCUCUUUCUCCUUGUCUUGCAGGUAAGAACAAGACCAAAGGAAAAGACAGGGAAAAAGCAUGAUAUGGGAUACUCUUGCUUUUAACCCUGAUGAUAUGAGAUAUUCUUGCUCUAGUAUAGCUUGUUUACAGAGGUAUUAUCCGGGGGAAAGAAAAAAGCUGAAUAUUUCGAAAGGCUUCGUUGGGAGUGCCCUCUCAGAUAAGAGAAAGGGUUGAGCAUUUUUUGCAGGUCUGCCUGUCCGUUAGGGAUGAAGGUCGACAUAUAUAGGAGUCUCCCUAACAUCAAGUAAUAAUGCUAUUCCUUUACCCUGCUUGGUCAUAGCACGGUAGCUGUCAGCUUCACAUGUUUUAACUCUGUCAGAGCACUUUGAAAAAGUGGUCUGUGGAUCUGGAAAAGCUGAUGUUGCGUGUGAAGAUUACAGACAAGCUUUAUCCAAGGAGAUCCAGCUCUUGAAGUUGGGAAAGUGGUGCCUCUUCGGUUUUCGAACAAGCAAUCCUGUCGGGGGUCUGGCUCUCGAGAUUCGGAGAACGAUGCCUCUUCAAUUUUUGAGAAAGCAAUCCUGCUGGGGGUCUGGCUCUCGAGANAAGUCUUUUCUUAGGGUCUCUUCCAAAGUUUUCCUAGGUCUUCCUCUACCCCUUCGGCCCUGAACCUCUGUCCCGUAGUCACAUUUUCGAACCGGAGCGUCAGUAGGCCUUCUUUUACACAUGUCCAAACCACCGGAACCGAUUUUCUCUCAUCUUUCCUUCAAUUUUGGCUACUCCUACUUUGCCUCGGAUAUCCUCCUUCCCAAUCUUAUCCUUUCUCGUGUGCCCAUACAUCCCACGAAGCAUCCUCAUCUCCACUACACCCAUUUUGUGUACGUGUUGAUGCUUCACCGCCCAACAUUCUGUGCCAUACAACAUCGCUGGCCUUAUUGCCGUCCUAUAAAAUUUUCCCUUGAGCUUCAGUGGCCUACGACGGUCACACACAACACGCCGGAUGCACUCUUACACUUCAUCCAUCCAGCUUGUAUUCUAUGGUUGAGAUCUCCAUCUAAUUCUCCGUUCUCUUGCAAGAUAGAUCCUAGGUAGCGAAAACGGUCACUUUUUGUGAUCUUCGCUAGAUUGCUCCGGUCAUUAG
Molecule: long non-coding RNA, 2576 nt
Filed under: Malus domestica (apple)
Lineage: Eukaryota; Viridiplantae; Streptophyta; Magnoliopsida; Rosales; Rosaceae
Description: long non-coding RNA (MDOM_LNC004605)
Source: RNAcentral